Cryptomeria japonica (Japanese cedar) is the source of this 1729-nucleotide RNA transcript. RefSeq lists it as uncharacterized. The record is from RefSeq and is a predicted model, not a curated record. The transcript has 9 exons. NCBI's taxonomy places the organism in Eukaryota, Viridiplantae, Streptophyta, Pinopsida, Cupressales, Cupressaceae.
UCAUUAAAAAGGCUAUUGAUACGAUCCCCCAAAUAUUUACGCAAUUUUAAAAAUACACCAUUCUCUAUAUAUUGUCGAGAGGGCUCUCAAUGGCAUUGGGAACAAUAAAAUAAUUUCCUCGCAGAGCGCAGUGCAGCUACAGCUGUAAAUUUUUCAGUGCACACAUUAAAUCAGAGCAAUGGAGGAGGAAAUACUGCAAGAAAUCGAGGCCGUAAAAUCAGUUUAUGGUCCAGAUUGCAGCGUUUUAGAGGAAUUCCCCCCUCACGUGAGAGUCAAUUUGAAGCCUCGAACUGCAGAAGAUUUAUCACAGCAGUUUGUGGAAGCUGUUCUUGUUAUCAAGGCAAAUUCACAGUAUCCAGUGGUGCCUCCCGAACUAGAGUUGAUAGAUUCAAAAGGACUUGAUGAUAAACGUCAUUCAGAUCUUCUGUUAGAAAUACAACAUGAGGCUGAAAUGCUGGCAUCAUCUCCCAUGCUUGUAGCAUUGUGCGAGGCAGCAAUAGAUAAACUCUCCAACAUGAAUCAUCCAGAAGGGAAUUGUUCAUUCUGCUUGUUUCCAUUGGUUAUGGAGGAUACUCAGAGUGCAUUGAGGCCUUUCAUGAAGCUGAUGUCUUGCUUUCAUUGCUUUCACAGUGAUUGCUUUGGGAGGUGGUGGAGAUGGCUUCAAGAGCAGAACCAACAUGAACAAUGUAAAUCAGCUGAUACAACUCUAUCAGGACUAACAGAGAAUGCAGAUGAAAUUUAUUCUCGUUUACCUUAUAGUUCUGAGGCUAGCAAAUUUGAGGAGUGUCAGUUAGUAAACUGUCCAGUAUGCCGAAAGGUGAUUCAUGCUAAAGAUGUUGAUCAUUUACGGCAGUUUUUGACAUCUGGUUUAGAUCUUCAGGAGAAUGAUGAAGGAAGCAUAAUUGACAAUAUUCUUUCAACGGAAGCGGAGAAUAAGAGGAGAGAACAAUUUGAACAAAUGUUCAACGUACAGAAACAGUGUGGAGGGAUUAUUGAGCCUAAAAAGCUUGUCAUUUUACCUGGCAUGUUUCUACCUGGUUCUGCUCUUGCAUCAGUUGAAUCGAUUGAUAGUGACAAUGAAGAAAUUGUCCCUGUUCAAGAUAUAAAUAUGGGGCGUGGUUCAGCUGAAACAGCAACUGGUUGUUCUGACCUACCUAGCUCAAGUACAAGUCCCACGUCUUACGUUGAGACAGAAGAGGCAAGCCAUGUUAUGGCUGGUAAACACUUAGAUGCUAAUUCCAAGAGACCGAAUUUUGGGAAGAGGGGGCAAAAUAACUUAAGAAGAUCUGAUAAUCAGCAAAAUUCACACAGACAGAAACAGCAUUCAAGGCGACAAACAGGUGCCUUACCAUCAACGACUUGUUGGAUCAAGAAAGAAUAGACGCUAUCAAUUGACUAUUGCAAUGUGUAUAAUUGUCUGCACCAUUGAUGGGAACUGCCACAAUGCGUCAUACAUCUGAAUUCAUAAUUUUUUUGCGAGUGCACAGGUCUCAAAGAAGAUUGAGUUUGUUCAUAACAGAUUUUUUUAAGCUCUCUAUAACGUUUUGCAAUAUAUAGUAGCACAUUUUUUAGAUGAUUACCAAGAAAACAGCAUACUCGGUUUUAUAAACAUCUGUAACUCUGUAUAAUUUCAGAGGUAAAGUUGGAGAGGAACUCCAUUUGUCCUUAUAUAGUAAAUAUUAAAAUAAUAAACGUGAUAAAAAAAAAAGCUUGGAUUGUGAUUUCCCAA